UGUGUGUGGCACUGUGUGUGCGUGUAUGUUAUGUGAGAUGCUGUGUGUGCAUGUGUGUGGUACUGUGUGUGCAUGUGUCUGUGUAUGUGAGGCGCUGUGUAUGCAUGUGUGUGUGUAUGUGAGACUUUGUGGAUGUAUGUGUAUAUGUGAGACACUGUGUGAAUGUGUGUGUGAGGUGUGCGUGUGUGAGAGACACUGUGUGCGUGUGUGUGAGACACUGUGUACGUGUGUGUGAGACACUGUGUGGAUGUAUGUGAGGUGUUGUGUGUGAGACACUGUGGAUGUAUGUGAGGUGUUGUGUGUGCAUGUGUGUGAGACACUGUGUGUGCAUGUGUGUGAGAUAUGUGUGACACUGUGCAUGUGUGUGUGUGUGUGAGAGACACUGUGUGUGGAUGUGUGUGUGUGAGAGGUCUUUGUGUGAGACACUGUGCGUGGAUGUGUGUGUGAGACACUGUGCGGAUGUGAGUGCACGCGCGGGGUCA
RNAcentral lists this long non-coding RNA (482 nucleotides) under Homo sapiens (human). Its description in RNAcentral is "non-protein coding lnc-HS6ST1-7:1". Lineage: Eukaryota; Metazoa; Chordata; Mammalia; Primates; Hominidae. The record is from RNAcentral.